AAAAAAUUCCCCCAUUUCUCUACAAAGUUUCAGAUCUGAAACUUGAGAUCCAAACUCCAAAAUCUUCAAAAAUCAAAAACAAAAAAAAAAUAGUAGCAAUUUCUAGAAAAACAAAAUACAAUAGAAAAUCCAAAUAGAAAACACAAAAACAAUUGCUGUUACCGUAGGCUAAUUGCAAGUUUUAGUGACUGAUGAACAUUUCCUAGCUCAAUCUCUGUUAAUUGAAGUCUUAGAGGUGUUUACCAGGUCGAUUUAAAGCAGUUAUGGUGGUUAUUCUACAUGAAUUGAUUGUUGUCAAGUGGAGUUUCUGGUUUGCUUUGGUUAGGGAAGUUUUGAAGUGUUUCUACUUUAAUUUCGAGCACCUUUGGGUCAGUUGGGGAGUGUUGUAGUUUUGUGACAUGCUACUGUGAUGAUUUCUGGGUUUAUGAGUUAAACUUGGCUCAAAAUUGGUCCUUAUUACUGCUGUUGUGACCUGUGGUUGGCGCUGUUAUUCAGUGUGGCUUACCUCCUCUUCUUCUACUUGUACUUCGAAUUCCAGGUACACACUUGUAACACAAGCUGAUGUAAUUAUGAAUUGAGGAGCUGCAAUGAAAUGCUAGUUUGAGACUUAUGCAUCCAAGUUGCCAUAGUAGAGUAGACAUUAUACAAUUCAUGUUUGUUAGUUGUGCUGUCUUUUGAAUUUGUAUCUGAUUUGUAUAACUAGACUGUAUUUAGGUUGAUUGGAACUGUCACGCUAAUCAAUUGAUACUAGUCAUCAAUUUGUUCAGGGAUUUCGUGAUUUUUAUCUGAUUUGUAUAACUAGACUGUAUUUAGGUUGAUCGGAACUAUCACGCUAAUCUAUUAAUACUAAUCAUCAAUUAGUUCAGGGAUUUCGUAUUUAGACAAUUGGUUGUAUGAUAAACUCAGAAUAAUCAGCUAUAGAUCACUUAGUUUGAAUAUUGAGCUAUCCUCAAUAGUUUAAUUUUGUUGUUGACGUGAUUAAUUAAUAAGUGUUGCGAGGUUAAUUAGAGUAAUGACUAAGAUGUUAUUGUCAUUGUUAAAUUGAAAUCUGCUUCCAGUUGAUUUUCAGUUGCCAUUUGUUUUUAGAGAUUCACUAAUAGGUAAGUAAAGAUGAUGGUUUACACAUAUGAUUAUAAUCCAUGUGAUCCAUGGGAGUAAAAUUAUCAAAUUGCCUUUAUUAUAAUUGUUGAGUGCGUUUGGAUAAUUGGGGAGCAUUCCAGUACGUGUUUGUCCAAAUUGCAGUAGCAUUUAGCCUCAGUUAUUAAUUGAAAGGUCAAUAGUCCAAUUUCGGAUGGUUUGGGUUUCAUUGUAUGUCGUCGAUAGCCUAGAUUUCUCGCCUAAAACGAUUUCCCAGGCUGUUUGGCCCACUCCGUUCCUGGGCAUACUCUAAACCCCAAAGAUUUUCGUAUUUGAGUUAGCUUGACAUUCAUAGGUUCAAAAUGAUAGUUUCUAAACAAUGCUCAUUAAUUAGGAUUUUUUUUCUUAUUUUUAGAGACCAAGAAUAUAGAAAGAUCAUAGUCUCUUUUGGCCUUAAUUAAAAAUGGAGACGAUCCUCACCGAACGAAAAUCUUAUUUUUACAGACCAAGAAUAUAAAAAGAUCAUAGCCUCUUUGGGAUUGGCCUUAAAUAAAAAUUGAGACGAGCCUCACCGAACGAAACUAAAUGUGGGGCCCUCAAUAAUUGAUUAUUAAAAAUUAUUAGAAUUUGGAAGGGUCGUUUAGCGAAUUUCCGCGGCCUUUCCCAAACAAUAUUACGUUAGAACCUUAAGCUUAAAUUUAUCUUCCUAAACUCGGGUGCGCAUUGAUGCGACCAAAAUCCCAAUCUCGAUGAAGUCGAAACGUGUCCACGAUCAUGUGUACACUGGUUGUGACGUGAUAAGGAAUACGUUUUCACGACGUCACAAGUUUUUUAAAAUAAAUAAUGGUAAAAGCGGUAUACAAAUAAAAGCACAUAUGUUAGCAUGUAUUAGAAUCAGAUAAAAUCAAAUACAACAGUUAAGCUACCAUGCUAGAACCACGGAAUUGUGGAAUGCCUAACACCUUCUCCUGGGUUAACAGAAUUCCUUACUCGGAUUUCCGGUUCGCAGACUGUAACAGAGUCGUAUUUUUCCUCGGUUCGGGAUUCAAAUCGGUGACUUGGGACACUAUAAAUCUCCCAAGUGGCGACUCUGAAUAAUUAAUAACCAAAUCCCCUUCCGAUUGUUCUUUAACUGGAAAAACUCCUAUACGCUCCUUGGCGGGGGUGUAUAGCAAAAAAAGGAGGUGUGACAGCUUUGGCGACUCUGCUGGGGACAAGAACCCAGAAUAUUUUGUUCAGGGUUCAGAAUUCGAGCUUAGAUGAAUUGUUGUAUUUGGUUAUAUCUGAUUUUUCUUACAUGUUGUGUGUGCUAAAUGUUACCACUUUGAUAAUAUCUGAACUGUAUAUAAACUAUGCCUAUACCCUUCUCUCUCUACCUCCGGGGAUGUGCUUAAUGGGUGAGACUCCCUAUUCUGUUAGUGUCAUACCUUCAAGACAUAAACUGUGCCGACACCCUUCUCUCUUUACCUUCGGGGAUGCGCUUACUGAUUGAGACUCCUUAUUCUGUUAGUGUCAUACCCUAAAAUGAAAAGAGGCUCGGACAAGCUACGAUGCCGGAUGACCUUUUGGUUCCCAGUAAGUUUCCCCUCCUCAACUCAAGUUGUCCGCUCGGGUACACAGUCUAGAACGCUGACCCAGGCUUUGAAUAUAGAAUAACUUGACUUCAUGACGGAUCCCUAGUAGGAACGUUUAUUUGAAUCACCUUGCAUUUAACUUAGGGGACUCAACACAGGGGUUGGGUCCGUCUAGGACUAGCAACCUGAAAUUAAAAUGACCAUACUGAUGCAUCCUACUUGCUAUAUACAUAUAUUUGUUUCGAACCUGCAUGUCGACCGCUUUCUGAAUCUCGAGACUGCCAGAAAAUUGAGAAAAAGAUAAAAGAGAAAGAGAGAGAAAUAACGGUUAGGGAAUUAAUUGAUUACUUUAGAAAAUACAACACCCAAGUACUGGCGAAACUCUGCCAAAAUUUUGAGAAAAUGAAAAAAAAGAAGGAAAAUAUUUUAUUUUGUUUUACUAAAAAGCAAAGGAAAAAUAGAAAAAAGAGUCUUUUAUUUUUGGGAAGGUGUUUGCUGAAAAGAAAAUGAAAAAGAGUCUUUAUUUUAGUUUGAAAAAAAUAGGUUGUUUUAUUAUUUCCCGAAAAGCAAAAAAAAAGAAAAGAAAAAAGAGUCGUUAUUCUGUCUUGUUUUCAAUAUGUUGUUUUAUUGUUUGCUGAAAAUGAAAAAAAAAGAGUCGUUAUUCUGUCUUGUUUUCAAAAAAUGGAAAAUAAAAAAUAGUUUGUCAUGAGAAAGAAAAAAACAAUCUGGAUUUUUGUUCUUAUUGUUUCAAAAUUGUUUAUUUGCCAAUGGAAAAAUAUGGUGUUUUAUUGAAAAAGAAAAAGAGUAUUUAUUUUUCGGAAAAUAGGUUGUGUUACUAAAAAAAAUGAAAAAAAAAAGUUUAGUUUUUAAUAGGAAAAAUAGAUUGUUUGUUGAAAAUGAAAAAAUCGUUACUUUGUCUUGUUUUCAAAAUAGAAAAGGAGAAAUAUUUUGUUUUACCAUGAAAAAUGAAAAGAAAAAAGAGAGUCUUGAUUUUUAUUUCAAAAUAGAUUAUUAUUUGAUGGAAAAGAAGGAAAAAGAAGAGCCUUUUUAGUUCGGAAAAAUAGGUUAUCUUAUUGGGAAAAAAAUGGGGUCUUUUAUUUCAGUUUGAAAAAUAGGUUGUUGGAAAAAUAGGCUGUUUUAUUGAAAAAUAGGUUUUCUUAUUGGAAAAGAAAGAGUCUUUUAUUUUAAUUUGGGAAACAGGUUGUUGGAAAAAUAGGCUGUUUUAUUGUUGAAAAAGAAGAAAGAACAAAGUCUGGUUUUAAAAGUACUUUUUUUUAUUUUUUGCAUAUGAAAUGCCAAAAGAGCAAAUAAAAAAAAGCUCUGUUUUAAAAUGGUUUGGUUGAUCUGCCCUAACUUCGCAUGGUUUGAUUCUCAUAGGGCAUGAGAUACGUAGGCAACCAUCAUCGGGUCCAACCUCCCCUUUACAAAAAUAACCCAAAAAUAUCAAAUUUUUAAUUUUGUCACAAGUAAAUCAGGUGACGCCGUUUUUGUCAAAAAAAUAGCCAAAUGUUCCCAAACGAGGCACCGGAAGGCUGACUUUGCAUAGACAGCCACCUUUGGUCAUAUUUUUAUUUUGACCCUCAGUUCCUUAAAAUCUUCGUCCCCGAGGCGCUGGAAGGCCGUGUUUGCAAUACCGGGUCAUUUAUUUUAAUUUGAAAAAAAAUAAGAAAGGAGUCAGCGGUCAAGUGAAUACCAAAAAUAUUUUGUGGUUAUUACAAAAAUAGAAAAUUCCAAAAAUAUUUCAUUGUCGUUUACCUUUUAUUGGCACGAACUACGCCUGGUCGUAUUCGUGCGGGGUCACGAUACGUAGGCAAUCCACAAAGGAUUCGACCACAACCAAAACCAAAAAAAAUGAAAAACAAAAUUUAAAAAAUGGAAAAGAUGUUGCGAAUAAUGAGGACGGAUCCAAUCCAUUCUAACUCUUUUUUUUUUGAAUUGUGAAGAAAAUUGAGGUGUUUGGUUGUGGUAAGCUGGAAACACAAAAUCUGAGGAAAAUGAUAACCGACAUCGAAGCUGUUUCAAGUGCUCAAGAGACUCCGGGUCAGAGGGUUAAACUAUAGUCUACGAUGUUUAAGGAAAGUAUAACACUGAAACAGAAAAUGACUGAAAUACAUCAAGCAUGGGCCAACGGUCAGGGAGAG
This 4792-nucleotide long non-coding RNA is filed under the name Nicotiana benthamiana. RNAcentral's name for it is "long non-coding RNA (NBEN_LNC038094)". The record is from RNAcentral. Lineage: Eukaryota; Viridiplantae; Streptophyta; Magnoliopsida; Solanales; Solanaceae.